RNAcentral lists this long non-coding RNA (1038 nucleotides) under Equus asinus (donkey). RNAcentral's name for it is "lncRNA (ENSEASG00005029895.1)". The record is from RNAcentral. Lineage: Eukaryota; Metazoa; Chordata; Mammalia; Perissodactyla; Equidae.
CAUGAAUGUUCCUCUUUAUUAAGGAAAACCUUACAGUGUUGGGUUUGAUGUUUUCAAGCUUUUUAAGGAGCUUGUUGAGGUCUGCAAAAGCUCCUGCUAAACCCUUCACUGAAAAUUUUCUUGGGAGUUCUCCUUUUUCUUCUCCUGCAGUUUUUUUCCCUUUGCCUCUUCUUCAGCUAUGCAUUCCUGUUCCAGUUCCAACAACUAUUCAUUAGUCAAUUCCUCAGGAAUCACCUCUAGGAGCUCCUCAAUGUCAUCCUCGUCCACACCCAGGUUAAAGUUGUUUGUCAUCUCAACCACACCUUGUUGAUUUCUACAACCUCCUCAUCCUUGGCAAAUCCUUUGAAGUCAUGGAUGAACCCCCUGAGUGUCUUCUUCCAGAUGCCAUUCAUACAUUCCUUAGUGACAUCACCGCAAGCCCAAGCAAGGUUUUUCAUGCAGCCGCAGAUGUUGUAAUCCUUCCAGAAUUGCAUCAGUGUCUUCUCAGUGUCUUCCUCAGUUGCAGCAUCGCUUGGGAGAAGGUCCUCCAAUGUAGUAGACCUUAAAAGCUGCUGUACCUCCUUGAUCCACUGGUUGGAUCAAAGAGGUGGUGUUUGAAGGGAGAAACACCACUUUGAUAUUGGGAUGAAGAUCACUAGUAAAAGGAGGAUGUCCAGGAACAUCAUCAACAGUUCUGGGGAUUGUGACAUGGACAUCUUUCAGGGGACAUUAUUCUGCACCAUACCCAAUGAAAAUAUCCUUCAGGAAUGAAGGGAAAAUCGAGACAUUCCCAAUGAAGGAAAACUAAGAGAAUUUGUCACCAGCAGACCUACCCUAAAUGAAUGGCUAAAGGAAGUUCUUUAAGAGGAAAGGAAAUGAUGAAAUAAAAACUCUUGGAACGUCAUGAAAGAAGAAGGAAUACAGUAAGCAAAAGUAUGGAUAAAUAUAAUAGGCUUGAGUUUUCCAAAAUAUGUUUGAUGGUUGAAGCAAAAUCAUACCACUGUUUGUGUUUUGGAAUAAGCAUUAGCUAAAAGCAUGAAACCUGGAUUUGAAUCACAG